AUUGAACGCUGGCGGUAGGCCUAACACAUGCAAGUCGAACGGCAGCACAGUAAGAGCUUGCUCUUACGGGUGGCGAGUGGCGGACUGGUGAGGAAUACAUCGGAAUCUACUUUUUCGUGGGGGAUAACGUAGGGAAACUUACGCUAAUACCGCAUACGACCUACGGGUGAAAGCAGGGGAUCUUCGGACCUUGCGCGUUUGAAUGAGCCGAUGUCGGAUUAGCUAGUUGGCGGGGUAAAGGCCCACCAAGGCGACGAUCCGUAGCUGGUCUGAGAGGAUGAUCAGCCACACUGGAACUGAGACACGGUCCAGACUCCUACGGGAGGCAGCAGUGGGGAAUAUUGGACAAUGGGCGCAAGCCUGAUCCAGCCAUACCGCGUGGGUGAAGAAGGCCUUCGGGUUGUAAAGCCCUUUUGUUGGGAAAGAAAAGCAGCAGGUUAAUACCCCGCUGUUCUGACGGUACCCAAAGAAUAAGCACCGGCUAACUUCGUG
RNAcentral lists this ribosomal RNA (492 nucleotides) under uncultured bacterium. RNAcentral's name for it is "partial 16S ribosomal RNA". It matches the Rfam family "Bacterial small subunit ribosomal RNA", at positions 30 to 507 of the family's 1533-position model. The record is from RNAcentral.